CUUGUUUGGGCCGGCCUGUUUAUUUCCUGUUCGCUGUCCCCCUUCCUCCCUCGACCGCUUCAUUCGUUGUCUACAGAGAAGCUUUCCCUUUCUCCUUCGUGCCUGGAUCCCCUUUUCCUCCGUCGUUCGGCCGCUUUUAUCACCUGCUUCUUCCUCCGGGAUCCUACUCCGGCAAGAGACCGCCGACCUCGUCGCCGGUGUCUCCAGCGUCGGCGUCUGCAUCGUCUAGGGUUCCGACAAGGUCGGCGUCGUCUAGGGUUCCGACAAAGUCGGCGUAGUCUAGGUCCCCGUCAAGCUUCGUCAAGCUCGGCGUCGACAAGGUGCGAUGGGCGGAGGCAGCGACGGGGAGUGGAGCUCGUUUGGAUUGUAAACCAGAAGCUGUCCUCGGCAUCCCGAGCUUGAUUGCCGCCUUGGAAGCCCAUCCUGCACACGGGGGUAGGCGCGGACGUGAGGCUCCAGGGUGCUACUACCGCGUAUGGCCGGCCCCGUAGUCCCGUGGAUAAGCAGCGGUAGGGACAUACAUAGACUGAAAUAUGAACUCAACUGAACAUCUGGACUCCUGAAUCCGUGCAUAAUGUCAUGUGGAGCGUUUUUUAUUUGAUUUGGAUGUUUCUGAGAUUAGACAAGGGGUUGUGUUUAGAGAUUUCGGAUUCAGAGGUAUGAUUCAGCAUGCUAUUGUUAGGAGGUUGUGUAUUCUGGCACUUGGCCUUGGGAUUUUUGCUUUUGUUUCUUGAUGAUCGUAGGGUGGUUUGUGUAGGUUGACGUAGAAGUUUUUCUAUGUUUUAAAAAUCUUACGUUUAUUUUACGAAUUUUGUAGCAGCAACAUGGAUUAGUUCUUGAGACUUGUUAGCAUGUAUAUUAGGUUUUCUUCUAUUCAGCCGGUGGUAUGCAUGCAUCUAUUAACAUUUAGGUCGCUUGUCCAUAUUAUAGGCUGGAGUAGUUUUGUAAAUGCUAGGCCAUGAAUUUAUUCACAUGUUUGUAUUGAUAAACGAUGCAUGUGUUGCAUCCUACCCGCACGACUUUGUUAUUUUAAUGUUGAAAAGUUUUCUUUAAUUUGCAUUUGAUGCCGUGAAUAGUCCUUUGCUUGCACAGUAGAGUGUUCUGGUGUUUUAGGUAAUUUCCUCUGUUGCUCUAGGAGCAGCACUACCAAUUUUUUUUCACACUAUAUUUGUGAAAUUAUACAAAUAAGAAUUCUGUGGUUAAUUGCAGCAUUUUGGGUGGACAUAGUUAGUUAACAAUGAUUUUGUAGUAUGGUGUCAUUCAUCUACCAUACUUCUGUAUCAUUUUCCUUGCAAGUAUUAUCAUAACAUGAUAAUUCGUGGUGUUCUUGUCCUCUGUGUUGCUUAGCUCUUAUUUGUUUGGGCACACACACAAAAGCAGAACUUGCCUAGCAAUCCCUUUUAAGUACUAACAUAGUUGUUUGAUCUUUUUACUGUAAUUGAUAUAGUUUGUUGACCUUUUUUCUAUCCUAAUGUAUUUAAUGUUUUCAUUAUCAUGCUUUCUUCUGUGAAUAGCACAACUAUCAGUGAUUCUAAAUACUUGAAUUAUGGUCCUUGAAUAACACUUGAAUAAUGUUCCUUGGAAAAUGUUUCUCUACAUACUUGAAUUAUGUCCCCUAAUAAUGUUCACUUCGAAAUGUUCAUUCAAUAAUGUUCCUUGGAAAAUGUUCCGCCAAUGACGUUCCCUACGAAAUUGUUCCUUCAAUAUUUGAUCCCUAAAUUAUGCCCCUUUCAAUAUGUUCCCUAAAUAAUGUUCCUUGGAAAUUGUUCAUCGAAUAAUGUUCCCUAAAUACUUGAAUUAUGUUCCUUGAAUAACACCUGAAUAAUGUUCCUUGGAAAUAGUUCCCUAAAUAAUGUUCCGCCAAUAAUGAUCCCUACAAAAUUGUUCCUUCAAUAUUUGGUCCCUAAAUUAUGCCCAUUUCAAUAAUGUUUCCUAAAUAAUGUUCCGUGGAAAUUGUUCACCGAAUAAUGUUCCCUAAAUACUUGAAUUAUGUCCCCUAAUAGUGUUCACUUGGAACUAUUCCUUCGAUAAAGUUUUCCGCUCAAUAUUUUGUGAUCCCUAAAUAAUGUUCCGCCAAUAGUAUUCCGCCAAUAAUGUUCCCUACAAAAUUGUUCUUUUCAUUUUUUCUUUCAUAAAUAAUUUUCCUUUGAAACUGUUCCCUAAAUAGUGUCCCCUAAAUACUUGAAUAAUGUCCCCUAAUAAUGUUCAUUUCGAAAUGUUCCUUUGAAUAAUGUUUCUUCAAUAUUUUGGACCCUUUGUUCAAAUAGUGUUCGCUAAAUAAUGAUACUUGAAAAAAGUUUCCCUAAUCUCUUUAAUGUUCACUUCAAAUUGUUCCUUCUAUAAUGUU
Molecule: long non-coding RNA, 2347 nt
Organism: Triticum aestivum (bread wheat)
Lineage: Eukaryota; Viridiplantae; Streptophyta; Magnoliopsida; Poales; Poaceae
Exons: 4
Source: RefSeq, a predicted model, not a curated record